AUAAACGAGCUCUCUGUGGAAAGAGAAAGGUGGACCGGUGGCAUCGUUUCCGCCACUGCUCGCCGGGAGUUGGAGGAGAAAGAGAGGUGAUUAGGGUCUGGUGUGCCGGCGGCCAUGGCUGCUGCCGCUCCUUCAGUUCAGCGACGGACAUCCUCUUUCUCAGCAACAAAUCAAUUGGAAGCAGAAGAAGAUUUUAGCCCUCCAGCUUCAUUUGAACCCUAG
This 222-nucleotide long non-coding RNA is filed under the name Salvia miltiorrhiza (redroot sage). RNAcentral's name for it is "long non-coding RNA (SMIL_LNC000262)". The record is from RNAcentral. Lineage: Eukaryota; Viridiplantae; Streptophyta; Magnoliopsida; Lamiales; Lamiaceae.